This 478-nucleotide ribosomal RNA is filed under the name uncultured bacterium. Its description in RNAcentral is "partial 16S ribosomal RNA". It matches the Rfam family "Bacterial small subunit ribosomal RNA", at positions 28 to 523 of the family's 1533-position model. The record is from RNAcentral.
GACGAACGCUGGCGGCGUGCUUAACACAUGCAAGUCGAACGGUAAGGCCCUUCGGGGUACACGAGUGGCGAACGGGUGAGUAACACGUGGGUGAUCUGCCCUGCACUUCGGGAUAAGCCUGGGAAACUGGGUCUAAUACCGGAUAGGACCAUUGCCUGCCUGUGUGGUGGUGGAAAGCUUUUGCGGUGUGGGAUGGGCCCGGGGCCUGUCAGCUUGUUGGUGGGGUGAUGGCCGACCAAGGCGACGACGGGUAGCCGGCCUGAGAGGGUGGCCGGCCACACUGGGACUGAGAUACGGCCCAGACUCCUACGGGAGGCAGCAGUGGGGAAUAUUGCACAAUGGGCGCAAGCCUGAUGCAGCGACGCCGCGUGAGGGAUGACGGCCUUCGGGUUGUAAACCUCUUUCAGCACCGACGAAGCGCAAGUGACGGUAGGUGCAGAAGAAGGACCGGCCAACUACGUGCCAGCAGCCGCCGUAA